UACGUAGGGGGCUAGCGUUGUCCGGAAUCAUUGGGCGUAAAGAGCGUGUAGGCGGCUUGGUAAGUCCGCUGUGAAAGUCCAGGGCUCAACCCUGGAAAGCCAGUGGAUACUGUCAAGCUAGAGUCCGGAAGAGGCGAGUGGAAUUCCUGGUGUAGCGGUGAAAUGCGCAGAUAUCAGGAGGAACACCAAUGGCGAAGGCAGCUCGCUGGGACGGUACUGACGCUGAGAAGCGAAAGCAUGGGGAGCGAACAGG
RNAcentral lists this ribosomal RNA (253 nucleotides) under uncultured bacterium. RNAcentral's name for it is "partial 16S ribosomal RNA". It matches the Rfam family "Bacterial small subunit ribosomal RNA", at positions 524 to 776 of the family's 1533-position model. The record is from RNAcentral.